GGAGGCGCAUCCGUUCUGGUGAACGGCGCGGUCUUCAAAACCGUCGGCGAGCUCGCCGAUGCGCGAGCUCGGGUAGGUUCGAUUCCUACACGCCUCC
This 97-nucleotide transfer RNA is filed under the name Pyrinomonas methylaliphatogenes. RNAcentral's name for it is "Acidobacteriaceae bacterium K22 Selenocysteine transfer RNA". It matches the Rfam family "Selenocysteine transfer RNA". Lineage: Bacteria; Pseudomonadati; Acidobacteriota; Blastocatellia; Blastocatellales; Pyrinomonadaceae. The record is from Rfam by way of RNAcentral.